GGGUUGUGAGGUUAAGCGACUAAGCGUACACGGUGGAUGCCCUGGCAGUCAGAGGCGAUGAAGGACGUGCUAAUCUGCGAAAAGCGUCGGUAAGGUGAUAUGAACCGUUAUAGCCGGCGAUGUCCGAAUGGGGAAACCCAGUGCAAUUCGUUGCACUAUCGUUAACUGAAUACAUAGGUUAACGAGGCGAACCGGGGGAACUGAAACAUCUAAGUACCCCGAGGAAAAGAAAUCAACCGAGAUUCCCCCAGUAGCGGCGAGCGAACGGGGAGCAGCCCGGAGUCUGAAUCAGCUUGUGUGUUAGUGGAAGCGUCUGGAAAGUCGCAGGGUACAGGGUGAUACUCCCGUACACUAAAACACACAGGUUGUGAACUCGAAGAGUAGGGCGGGACACGUGGUAUCCUGUCUGAAUAUGGGGGGACCAUCCUCCAAGGCUAAAUACUCCUGACUGACCGAUAGUGAACCAGUACCGUGAGGGAAAGGCGAAAAGAACCCCGGCGAGGGGAGUGAAAAAGAACCUGAAACCGUGUACGUACAAGCAGUAGGAGCCCACUUGUUGGGUGACUGCGUACCUUUUGUAUAAUGGGUCAGCGACUUAUAUUCUGUAGCAAGGUUAACCGUAUAGGGGAGCCGCAGGGAAACCGAGUCUUAACUGGGCGUUAAGUUGCAGGGUAUAGACCCGAAACCCGGUGAUCUAGCCAUGGGCAGGUUGAAGGUUGGGUAACACUAACUGGAGGACCGAACCGACUAAUGUUGAAAAAUUAGCGGAUGACUUGUGGCUGGGGGUGAAAGGCCAAUCAAACCGGGAGAUAGCUGGUUCUCCCCGAAAGCUAUUUAGGUAGCGCCUCGUGAACUCAUCUUCGGGGGUAGAGCACUGUUUCGGCUAGGGGGUCAUCCCGACUUACCAACCCGAUGCAAACUACGAAUACCGAAGAAUGUUAUCACGGGAGACACACGGCGGGUGCUAACGUCCGUCGUGAAGAGGGAAACAACCCAGACCGCCAGCUAAGGUCCCAAAGUCAUGGUUAAGUGGGAAACGAUGUGGGAAGGCCCAGACAGCCAGGAUGUUGGCUUAGAAGCAGCCAUCAUUUAAAGAAAGCGUAAUAGCUCACUGGUCGAGUCGGCCUGCGCGGAAGAUGUAACGGGGCUAAACCAUGCACCGAAGCUGCGGCAGCGACGCUUAUGCGUUGUUGGGUAGGGGAGCGUUCUGUAAGCCGUUGAAGGUGGCCUGUGAGGGUUGCUGGAGGUAUCAGAAGUGCGAAUGCUGACAUAAGUAACGAUAAUGCGGGUGAAAAACCCGCACGCCGGAAGACCAAGGGUUCCUGUCCAACGUUAAUCGGGGCAGGGUGAGUCGACCCCUAAGGCGAGGCCGAAAGGCGUAGUCGAUGGGAAACAGGUUAAUAUUCCUGUACUCGGUGUUACUGCGAAGGGGGGACGGAGAAGGCUAUGUUGGCCGGGCGACGGUUGUCCCGGUUUAAGCAUGUAGGCGGAUGUUCCAGGUAAAUCCGGAACGUUACUAACGCUGAGGUGUGAUGACGAGGCACUACGGUGCUGAAGUGACAAAUGCCCUGCUUCCAGGAAAAGCCUCUAAGCAUCAGGUAACAUCAAAUCGUACCCCAAACCGACACAGGUGGUCAGGUAGAGAAUACCAAGGCGCUUGAGAGAACUCGGGUGAAGGAACUAGGCAAAAUGGUGCCGUAACUUCGGGAGAAGGCACGCUGAUGGUAGGUGAAGUGACUUGCUCAUGGAGCUGAAAUCAGUCGAAGAUACCAGCUGGCUGCAACUGUUUAUUAAAAACACAGCACUGUGCAAACACGAAAGUGGACGUAUACGGUGUGACGCCUGCCCGGUGCCGGAAGGUUAAUUGAUGGGGUUAUCCGUAAGGAGAAGCUCUUGAUCGAAGCCCCGGUAAACGGCGGCCGUAACUAUAACGGUCCUAAGGUAGCGAAAUUCCUUGUCGGGUAAGUUCCGACCUGCACGAAUGGCGUAAUGAUGGCCAGGCUGUCUCCACCCGAGACUCAGUGAAAUUGAACUCGCUGUGAAGAUGCAGUGUACCCGCGGCAAGACGGAAAGACCCCGUGAACCUUUACUAUAGCUUGACACUGAACACUGGUCCUUGAUGUGUAGGAUAGGUGGGAGGCUUUGAAGUGUGGACGCCAGUCUGCAUGGAGCCAUCCUUGAAAUACCACCCUUUAAUGGCUGGUGUUCUAACGUGGGCCCGUAAUCCGGGUUGCGGACAGUGUCUGGUGGGUAGUUUGACUGGGGCGGUCUCCUCCUAAAGAGUAACGGAGGAGCACGAAGGUCAGCUAAUCCUGGUCGGACAUCAGGAGGUUAGUGCAAUGGCAUAAGCUGGCUUGACUGCGAGCGUGACGGCGCGAGCAGGUGCGAAAGCAGGUCAUAGUGAUCCGGUGGUUCUGAAUGGAAGGGCCAUCGCUCAACGGAUAAAAGGUACUCCGGGGAUAACAGGCUGAUACCGCCCAAGAGUUCAUAUCGACGGCGGUGUUUGGCACCUCGAUGUCGGCUCAUCACAUCCUGGGGCUGAAGUAGGUCCCAAGGGUAUGGCUGUUCGCCAUUUAAAGUGGUACGCGAGCUGGGUUUAGAACGUCGUGAGACAGUUCGGUCCCUAUCUGCCGUGGGCGCUGGAGAAUUGAGGGGGGCUGCUCCUAGUACGAGAGGACCGGAGUGGACGCAUCACUGGUGUUCGGGUUGUCAUGCCAAUGGCAUUGCCCGGUAGCUAAAUGCGGAAGAGAUAAGUGCUGAAAGCAUCUAAGCACGAAACUUGCCCCGAGAUGAGUUCUCCCUGACUCCCUGAGAGUCCUGAAGGAACGUUGAAGACGACGACGUUGAUAGGCCGGGUGUGUAAGCGCAGCGAUGCGUUGAGCUAACCGGUACUAAUGAACCGUGAGGCUUAACCUUACAACGCCGAAG
Molecule: ribosomal RNA, 2928 nt
Filed under: Klebsiella michiganensis
Lineage: Bacteria; Pseudomonadati; Pseudomonadota; Gammaproteobacteria; Enterobacterales; Enterobacteriaceae
Description: 23S ribosomal RNA
Rfam family: Bacterial large subunit ribosomal RNA
Source: RNAcentral